Molecule: long non-coding RNA, 311 nt
Organism: Sinocyclocheilus rhinocerous
Lineage: Eukaryota; Metazoa; Chordata; Actinopteri; Cypriniformes; Cyprinidae
Exons: 4
Source: RefSeq, a predicted model, not a curated record
GACUGGCUUCUUCCCCAGUUCCAGUGUGAAACCAUGUCUAGACCCAAAGCCUUUCCAGUCUUUUUCUAGCCGUCAGUCCUCCAGAGAGACAGAUUACAACGUUUAUCCCUGGUUUGCAGGAAACAUGGAGCGACAGCAGGCCGACAACCUGCUUAAGUCUCACAGCAGCGGCACCUAUCUGAUCCGAGAGAGGACGGCGGAGGCCGAGAGAUUCGCAAUCAGCAUCAAGUUUAAUGAUGAAGUGAAGCAUAUUAAAGUUAUUGAGAAAGACAACUGGAUUCACAUCACAGAGGCAAAGAAGUUUGAUAGCC